ACGCGUAGGAAUCUACCCAGUAGCGGGGGAUAGCCCGGGGAAACCCGGAUUAAUACCGCAUACGCCCUACGGGGGAAAGAGGGGGAUCUUUUCGGAGACCUCUCACUAUUGGAGGAGCCUGCGUUGGAUUAGCUUGUUGGUGGGGUAAAGGCUCACCAAGGCGACGAUCCAUAGCUGUUCUGAGAGGAAGAUCAGCCACACUGGGACUGAGACACGGCCCAGACUCCUACGGGAGGCAGCAGUGGGGAAUAUUGUGCAAUGGGCGAAAGCCUGACACAGCCAUGCCGCGUGUGUGAAGAAGGCCUUCGGGUUGUAAAGCACUUUCAGCGGGGAGGAAGAUCCUUGGAUAAUACCCAAGGUUAAUGACGUUACCCGCAGAAGAAGGACCGGCUAACUCCGCGCCAGCAGCCGCGGUAAUACGGAGGGUCCGAGCGUUAAUCGGAAUUACUGGGCGUAAAGCGCGCGUAGGUGGUUUGUUAAGUUGGAUGUGAAAGCCCAGGGCUUAACCCUUGGAACUGCAUUCAAAACUGGCGGACUAGAGUACGAUAGAGGGGGGGUAGAAUUCAGAGUGUAGCGGUGAAAUGCGUAGAUAUUCUGAGGGAAUACCGGGUGGCGAAGGCGGCCCCCCUGGAUUGAUACUGACACUGAGGUGCGAAAGCGUGGGGGAGCAAACAGGAUUAGAUACCCCUGGUAGUCCCACGCCCGUAACGAUGUCUACUAGUCGUUUGGGGAGGCUUGUCCCUCUUGGGUGGGCGCAGAUAAACGCGUUUAAGUUAGACCGCCCUGGGGGGAGUACGGCCGCAAUGCUUAAAACCUCCAAAGGAAUGGAACUGGGGACCGGCCACAAGGCCGGUGUGCAC
Molecule: ribosomal RNA, 860 nt
Filed under: uncultured Gammaproteobacteria bacterium
Lineage: Bacteria; Pseudomonadati; Pseudomonadota; Gammaproteobacteria
Description: bacterial SSU rRNA
Rfam family: Bacterial small subunit ribosomal RNA
Source: RNAcentral